RNAcentral lists this long non-coding RNA (1375 nucleotides) under Oryctolagus cuniculus (rabbit). RNAcentral describes it as "lncRNA (ENSOCUG00000030347.1)". The record is from RNAcentral. Lineage: Eukaryota; Metazoa; Chordata; Mammalia; Lagomorpha; Leporidae.
AUGCUGGCAUCACAGACAGAGGCUUUACCUGCUAUAACACAACAUGGGCUCCAAAGGUCAGAAUUUCUAAAAGCUAGAGUUCCCAGAAGUGGGGAAACACCUCCAGUUCAGUAUCUUUACAAUCACAACAUUGGACAGACAAGCUCUGAUUUCUAUUUUGCAUUAUCCUUCAUAAAUCUCUGGAUUUCUUUGGAUUGCUGGGUUGCUCACAAAGAGCUGCCCAGUGGUGUGUUUCUAUUUUCUUUUAUUUAUUUUAAAGUAAUACUUUACAAGCCCUUGGCUUGAAAAUAUUUCAAUAACAUCUGCCUAUUCAAUACUAUAAAGUAAGAUGACUCUGCUCAGCUCUCCUUUAUGGUAGGCUUUGAGAAGUAUCUUUCUGAUCACUUUCUUUCUUCUCUCUCUCUUUUUUUAACAGUAGUGGUUUUCCCCAAAGCCCUUUGGGAUGGUUACUGUGAGAUCCAGUUGGUGAGCAGUUAUGGUGUUAAGAAAGGUGAUGGGAACAUUCCUAUUUAGUCAUGGACCUUGACCAUGAGACGGUGGCAGUGGCUUUGUAUCUCACUGCGUUUGCAGCCCAUGCUGAGGGAAUGCCAACUGUGCCAGGGGUUGGAGCUGCCCACUGGAGUACUCCAGUGACCCUGGGGUGGUGGAUCUCUUCCCUAGAUUCUCCUGUUGGCUGAAAGGGGAGUUAGGCCCAGCGCGGAGCUCCUGUCUCUUCCUCACGUGUUAAGAGCCCCCUAAUUCCUCAGUCCACAUGUACCUAAUGACACACGAUCAACCUCAGUCUGCGGGUUCUCCUUACAUUCUGGCAGUGAACAAAUCAAGUCGAUUUACCAGCCUAGAGGAGGAAUGCGGCCAUUUUCCUCUAGUCUGGAGGAACCACUUUAUGUCACGUUCUUCCCCUAUGUUUCCCUCUUAAGAGGGCAGCACAGCUCACAGUCAGUGCCACCGAGUGAACACUAGGCAGCUCUGCCUGAGGAGCACAGAAGUGUCAUCUUCAGUCCUCCAGGGAAGCUGGCCCCAUUCAAAAGCAGAGAGCUGGGGCAGGAGCUGUGGCGAACCGGCUUAAAGCCCCGGCCUACAGCGCCGGCAUCCCAUAUGGGCGCUGGUUCGAGUCCCAGCUGCUCCUCUUCUGAUCCAGCUCUCUGCUAUGGCCUGGGAAAGCAGUAGAAGAUGCCCAAGUCCUUGGACCCCUGCACCCACGUGGGAGACCCAGAGGAAGCUCCUGGCUCCUGGCUUCGGGUCGGCAUAGCUCCAGCCGUUGAGGCUAUCUGGGGAGUGAACCAGCAGAUAGAAGGAACACCUCUGCCUCUCCUUCUCUCUCUGUGUAACUCUUUCAAGUAAAUAAAUAAAUCUUAAAAAAAAAAAAAAAGAGGCA